This 253-nucleotide ribosomal RNA is filed under the name uncultured bacterium. RNAcentral's name for it is "partial 16S ribosomal RNA". It matches the Rfam family "Bacterial small subunit ribosomal RNA", at positions 524 to 776 of the family's 1533-position model. The record is from RNAcentral.
GACGAACUGUGCAAACGUUAUUCGGAAUCACUGGGCUUAAAGGGCUCGUAGGUGGCCAACUAAGUCGGACGUGAAAUCCCCCGGCUUAACCUGGGAACUGCGUCUGAUACUGGACGGCUAGAGUAUGGGAGAGGGAUGUAGAAUUCCAGGUGUAGCGGUGAAAUGCGUAGAUAUCAAGAGGAACACCUGAGGUGAAGACGGGUUGCUGGGCUGACACUGACGCUGAGGCGCGAAAGCCAGGGGAGCAAACGGG